UUGAGGUAUUUAAAAAAAAAAUGGAGAAUUAAUGAAAAAUGUCAAAUGCUUUCAGUGGUUACUAAGGGAUCUUUGAUUUUUACAUCUUUUUAUAUAAAAAUGUUCCUGAAUAUUAGAUGUAGAACAUCUAAGCUGUGGUUUCAAGAUACGUUCUCCUCUAGAAGCAUCAAAGGUGCUACUGAAUGGUCAAAAUCUGCUUCAGCAGGGCUCAGUCAGAGUUUUUCCGUCUGACAGCUCAACAAACACAAGGAGUUUCAUGUUCUGCUUCAAUAUUAAAUGUUGCUUUCUAAAUCACAGAAACUGCUUCCCACCAAACCUGACUUCUGCUUUACUUCAGAGACCUGCCAAAGGAAAGCCCUGCUCCUGUCAAUGACUUGUGAAGAGCGAUUCCUCAUUUCUGAGAUCCCUGCCAGGAACGGGAGAUGUACCAAGAGUUUCUAAGUUCCUCAGGCAAUCAGAACAUGCCCCGAGCCCCUUCUGCAAUCGAUGUCCUCCUGAGGAUGAUGUGUCACCACUCACAGACUGAUCUCAGGAAGGACAGAUCAAUUCUGCAGUGAGUCCUGGUGCUCCUGUGAACAAUCAGCACUCCUGGUUCCCAGGGCUCUUCCUUUUCAGCAAGGCCUGAACACGUCAAGUCACUCCUGCACGUUCCCUGCAGUAUUUGGCUGUCUCAAGACAGACAAGGGGAUCUUCAAAACUUUCUGGAUUGAUUCAGCAGGAGACUCAUGGGAGAUGGAAAUGCUUUGACAGCAAGCGCUCUCUACAGGGUCCAGCCAUGGUGGGACAGGAAAAGUCUCCUCCUCCCACCUUACUUUUCUUUGUUUUGCUGUAAACCUUCCCUCUCUCCCCAUCUCUGGGAGUCAGCACCCACAUCCCUUUGUCUCUGGAGGGACUGGGAGCCAGACCUUCCUCUCUUUUUUUCCCUCCCUGUGCAUGGAGUUUGAGUCGCGCACAUGCGGAAUUCAGUGAGCCGAGAUCUUCGCUUUCAUCAGAUGUGUCUCGUCAGAAACAGGCUGACACCCUGGGCACCAAAACAGAUCACAGGAGCUACAGCACAAAGCAGGCUCUGCCACAGCUGCAGGCAGGAGUCUGUCAGGGAGAGUGAGGGAGCAAGAAGGGUGCUGAUCUAACAGACAAAGGGGGAAGGAAGGAAGAGUGAAAAGUGGAAGAAACUGGAAGAGACUUCAAGGGACACGACGCUGUUUGAUGGGGCAGAAGCUGAGAGACAAGUGAGCUGCUGUGCAGGGUGAUUGCAUUCUUCCAAGAUGAUUUGUAAAAGGGGAAAAGUUGUAGCUGAAACGCUUUGAUUGGCCUUUAUCUCACUCUGCCUGUGCACUUGUGUCAUUCAUUUCAUGUAAUAACCUCUACUAAACAGUCAGAGGCUGCAGUGUAAUUUUGUUGACCUGAAACUAAGGCAAAAAGCUGCAGUUGUGGAAUUUGGAGCUGGAAUAGUGCCUAACUGGCUGAAGGGCAAAAUAAAGAAGUAAAGAUCAAUGACAGCUCUUCAUGUCACGUGAAAAGUCAAGGCUCAUGCAUCAGGGAACUUCAAAACAAUCAGAUUCAUGUAAGUUUAGCCUAUGUCUCAAUCCAAAAAUUACAUUAAAAUUAAAUUCCCUGUUUCUAAUUGUCAUUCAGUGGAGCUUAGAUGAACCU
Long non-coding RNA from Motacilla alba alba, 1653 nucleotides. RefSeq lists it as uncharacterized. The transcript is spliced from 3 exons. The record is from RefSeq and is a predicted model, not a curated record. Lineage: Eukaryota; Metazoa; Chordata; Aves; Passeriformes; Motacillidae.